AUUGAACGCUGGCGGCAUGCUUUACACAUGCAAGUCGAACGGUAACAGGCCGCAAGGUGCUGACGAGUGGCGAACGGGUGAGUAAUGCAUCGGAACGUGCCCAGUCGUGGGGGAUAACUACUCGAAAGAGUAGCUAAUACCGCAUACGAUCUAUGGAUGAAAGCGGGGGACCGUAAGGCCUCGCGCGAUUGGAUCGGCCGAUGUCAGAUUAGGUAGUUGUUGGGGUAAAGGCUCACCAAGCCAACGAUCUGUAGCUGGUCUGAGAGGACGACCAGCCACACUGGGACUGAGACACGGCCCAGACUCCUACGGGAGGCAGCAGUGGGGAAUUUUGGACAAUGGGCGCAAGCCUGAUCCAGCAAUGCCGCGUGCAGGAAGAAGGCCUUCGGGUUGUAAACUGCUUUUGUACGGAACGAAACGGCUCUGGUUAAUACCCGGGGCUAAUGACGGUACCGUAAGAAUAAGCACCGGCUAACUACGUG
RNAcentral lists this ribosomal RNA (482 nucleotides) under uncultured bacterium. Its description in RNAcentral is "partial 16S ribosomal RNA". It matches the Rfam family "Bacterial small subunit ribosomal RNA", at positions 30 to 507 of the family's 1533-position model. The record is from RNAcentral.